This 1454-nucleotide long non-coding RNA is filed under the name Sorghum bicolor (sorghum). RNAcentral describes it as "long non-coding RNA (SBIC_LNC001699)". The record is from RNAcentral. Lineage: Eukaryota; Viridiplantae; Streptophyta; Magnoliopsida; Poales; Poaceae.
UUCAGACGCCCAAUCAUCACAUCAUAUCCUAUCCUGCGUACCGGCCGAGCUUGACGUGAGGUGAAGUGUUACCGACCCUAGCUUCUCGCUCGCUCCAUCGACGAUUGAUCCAGGAAUUGGAUGUGUGUGUGUUUUUUUUUUCUCGGAUUGAUCGAACUGCUCGCCGCGCCGUGUCCUUUCAGGAUAACCAGCUGACUUGAGAGGCGCAGAACGGGCGGCGUGCAGCGGCCAACAGCCAACGGAGGGAGGAAUGAUGCGAUGCAGUGCAGUAGUGCAGGUGUGUGGUACUAUUAUCUAUCUGGGGGAUUUGGGUGCAGCGAGCGUGCGUUAUCCUCUGGGGCUGCUUUCUGCCUGCUCAUCGGAUCGGGCCGAGAUUUCCGAAUAUAUGCACGCCGAAUCCGAAUCAGAAUCCGGGUGACGGAAGGCGUAUGUUGUAACAAUUUGCUGACGGGGUGAGUCCACCUGCUUUCACACGAACGAACACUCACGAGUCAGGACUCAGGAGAUCAGGAGACAGUGCCACAGACCCACAGUGGCACGGUUUGCCAAGAACAGAGAUUAGGGAAAGAAAUUCCCAAUUGCGUGAGCUUUGCACCCAGGAUACUGGGGGGGGGGGCGACCUGAGACCGCAAAAUAACAUUCCACAAAAAGCGUGGGAAUGUCUCCAUGAAGUUUCAUUGGAAGUAGGACGAACACUAGCACCCGACAAUGGCGACAAAGACCUCCAAAGGUUUCCGUUGUACACUGCAGCGCAAGAGGUUCAAAGUUGACCUGUGGAUGUGUUGCAAGUUUCACCGGGCCCAAACAACAGCAUUUAAUUUGCAGAGACAACAAACCAGAGUUAGAAAUGAUGAACCCAAGUUCAAGGACAGACUCAGCACAUGAAACAUCAUCAGACGAAGAAGACAAAUGCAUGGCUGUGUUCUUUGUGAUCUCGAUGUUGAGGAGACCUCGCACCAUCUCUUCCUUCGGUGUCAGUUUGCAAAGCAGUGUUGGGAACUAACCAGUGUACACAUACCUCUUGCUGCUGACCUCCCCUGAUGCAAUGACAUGUCUCAAAGAUGCCCUUCACAAAAUCACACCCAAUUCUUUAUGGCAGCCAUCAUCUUGCUCUGUUGGGCAACCUGGGGGUUCGUGCAACGAUUUCAUUUUCAUGUGUUUACAACAAAAUUUACCAGUCUGUCGGGCAACUUUUUUCAGGGAACUGCGCAACUUAUGAAUCAGAGAGUCAGUUUAUGAAACGCAGAAACCUCUGUGAUCAAUGGACUCAAUCACUGGUUGACUCCCUCUCUCUAGGCUGAAGCUCGUUUUCUUUUUAAUCUUCUUUGUAUCUUGACUUCCUUUUCUUUUCGGUUCCCUCUGUUUUUUCUGUUUCUGUUGUAAGCUUGUCCACUUCUAACCAAAGACAAGGAGAUAAUUUAGAGAAGAGGGUAACCCCGCUUUUAUUACUAAAA